Molecule: ribosomal RNA, 253 nt
Filed under: uncultured bacterium
Lineage: Bacteria
Description: partial 16S ribosomal RNA
Rfam family: Bacterial small subunit ribosomal RNA
Source: RNAcentral
UACGUAGGGUCCGAGCGUUGUCCGGAUUUAUUGGGCGUAAAGAGCGUGUAGGCGGCUUGGUAGGUCCGCUGUGAAAACUCGAGGCUCAACCUCGAGCUGUCGGCGGAAACCAUCUGGCUAGAGUCCGGAAGAGGAGAGUGGAAUUCCCGGUGUAGCGGUGAAAUGCGCAGAUAUCGGGAAGAACACCCGUGGCGAAGGCGGCUCUCUGGGACGGUACUGACGCUGAGACGCGAAAGCGUGGGGAGCGAACAGG